This 2046-nucleotide long non-coding RNA is filed under the name Homo sapiens (human). Its description in RNAcentral is "HSALNT0083478". Lineage: Eukaryota; Metazoa; Chordata; Mammalia; Primates; Hominidae. The record is from RNAcentral.
GUGUGUCUGUGUGUGUGUGUGCAUGCCAAUGACAAAUUUUAGGUAGAAAUAAGCUUUGCUUAAUUUGGUGUGGCUAGAAAAUUGACACCACCUUCCAUCUGCAGCACGCGUUGGAUUUAGAAUUGAUGAUUCUCAUAUAUCUUAUUAGCUUCUUAGCGAGUUGUCAAACAAGCCAUGCACUUACUAUCAGCCGACUUUACAGAGCAAGCGGCAAGUGUUCCUUGAGUUGGGUGAUUUGCCUGAAUGGAGGGGAGUCCCAAUGCUGCCUCGGCCUCAUCAUGGAUGGAGCCCACCCAGAGGGCACUGAAAUUCAUCUUGCAUUCCUAUUGACCUCUGUAGAAUAGUGUAUCUGUAAUAAAAGAUUCUGAAAGACUGCUGGAAUUCAACAAUUUCACAAACAGUUGUCAAUAUGCUAACACUAUGAUAUGAACAAAGCAAUUUUUGGACUUUAAGGGGGUACUGGUGAUGCAUUUCUUGGGAUAAAUUUGUGGAAAUAAAGAGACCUAACCUUCAAAGCUUGCAAUCAAGUCGGAGGAUUAGAACCCCUUGCAUUCUAACCAAAUGGGGUGCUGUGAUGGAGAACUUCCCUUUGAGUUGUGCCUUCGCCUGUGUCAAUUGGUGCUACUCUAACAGAAUACCACAGACUGAGUAAUUUAUAAAGAACACACGUUUAUUUUUUACAGUUCUGGAGUCUGAGAAGGCCAAGAUUAAGAUACCAACAGGUUUUGUCGUCUGGUGAGGUCAGCCUACGCUUCCAAGAUGGUGGCUUGUAUGCUGUGUCUUCCAGACGGGAGGAACACCGUGUACCUCACGUGGCAGAAGGCAGAAGGGCAAAAGGAACAGACUCUCUCUGCCAAGUCCUUUAAAAGGGCACCUAACCUCAUUCACAAGAGUGGAGGUCUCCUGACCUAUCGUCUCUUAAAGACCCCACCUGUUAACAUUAUGAUAUUAGCCAUUCGGUUUCAACGCAUGAAUUCCUGAGGAGUCACAUUGAAACCAUCGCAGUUACUACACUCCAGUUUAGCAGUUAUGGUGUACAAGUCCACAACCACCUAAGAACAGAAGUUGAAAUGGUGCAGGCAAAUGCCACGUCACAGAUCCUGGGAAGAGAAGAGGUGAAGACGACGUCUUGGACAGCUGCAGCCCUCAGCUCUGGGAGCAGGGACCACCUAGAAGCUCACAGUCACUGUGGGCUUACCAUGUGCGGGAUCUUUGCAAGCACUCUAGAAAAAAUAUCUCAGUCCUAUGGGGUGGAUGCUACUAUCAUCUCCAUUUUACAGAUGAAAAGACGGAGGUUUCCGCAGGACAGCGUGCUGUGCAUCAGUGAGCAGGCCUGAUGGGAAUGAGCAGGGGUACGACUCCAUCACCCACCCUCGGAGUCCCCUCUGUAGGAGUCUCUGUGCAAUCAAGGAUGCUUUAGGUAGGGGCCGUCUCCUUCCAUCAGGCGCCUUGGGGAGACUCUGGGCCUUCUUAGGGAGGGUCUUCCACAGAAGGGGGCUUUGUCCAGUCCCAGGAAGUGAGAAGUCACCACUGGAAUCCCUCCUAAGUGAUGCACCUUGUUUAUUGAGCUCUCUCUCAGAGAUUCACCUAAAGGCAUCUGUUAUGCGCACAGGUUUUUAAAACUAGAGGAAAAUGAUAAGGACACGUGUUCUGCAUCACGAAGCUUAUUCAUUCUGCAAGUCCUGGGUAAGUGGAGAUGAAGCCUGUCUGGUGACAGGUGACAGCCAAGAACCUCCUGGGAGACAGGAGAAACUUUCCUCUGCCUUUGCCAUGGAACAGAGUGAAGAGCUGACUGCACACUGAGCAGGAAUCCACUGCCUGGGGACCCUGGCUCACCUGCAUUGUUGCAUGGAGGGAGGUCAGUUCCAGAACUUCCCCUGAUCCCAUGUGGGGGCUGGAGUGGUGAGGGCCAGGUGCUACAUGGGCCUGGUUGGGGGUAGGGGAGGCCACUGCUGGAGGAGGGGGUGCCUAGGACUCAAUCAAAUGCUGAGAGUCCAUUUCUAAGAUGUUUUACCUGCAAAACCCAAAGGAAUGUCGUAGUUGCAU